This 1008-nucleotide ribosomal RNA is filed under the name human gut metagenome. RNAcentral's name for it is "bacterial LSU rRNA". It matches the Rfam family "Bacterial large subunit ribosomal RNA", at positions 1922 to 2925 of the family's 2925-position model. The record is from RNAcentral.
AGUAAACGGCGGCCGUAACUAUAACGGUCCUAAGGUAGCGAAAUUCCUUGUCGGGCAAGUUCCGACCUGCACGAAUGGCAUAACGAUGGCCACACUGUCUCCUCCUGAGACUCAGUGAAGUUGAAGUGUUUGUGAUGAUGCAAUCUCCCCGCGGCUAGACGGAAAGACCCCAUGAACCUUUACUGUAGCUUUGCAUUGGACUUUGAACCGAUCUGUGUAGGAUAGGCGGGAGCCUGUGAAACCACAACGCCAGUUGUGGCGGAGGCGUCCUUGAAAUACCGCCCUGAUUUGUUUGAGGUUCUAACCUGGGACAGUCAUCCUGUCCGGGGACCGUGCAUGGUAGGCAGUUUGACUGGGGCGGUCUCCUCCUAAAGGGUAACGGAGGAGUGCGAAGGUACGCUAGGUACGGUCGGAAAUCGUGCUGAUAGUGCAAUGGCAAAAGCGUGCUUGACUGCGAGACCCACAAGUCGAGCAGAUACGAAAGUAGGUCAUAGUGAUCCGGUGGCUCUGUAUGGAAGGGCCAUCGCUCAACGGAUAAAAGGUACUCUGGGGAUAACAGGCUGAUACCGCCCAAGAGUUCAUAUCGACGGCGGUGUUUGGCACCUCGAUGUCGGCUCAUCUCAUCCUGGGGCUGUAGCCGGUCCCAAGGGUAUGGCUGUUCGCCAUUUAAAGUGGUACGCGAGCUGGGUUUAAAACGUCGUGAGACAGUUUUGUCCCUAUCUGCCGUGGGCGCUGGAAGAUUGACGGGGGCUGCUCCUAGUACGAGAGGACCGGAGUGGACUCACCUCUGGUGUACCGGUUGUCACGCCAGUGGCAUCGCCGGGUAGCUAUGUGGGGAAGAGAUAACCGCUGAAAGCAUCUAAGCGGGAAACUUGCCUGAAGAUAAGUCUUCCUGGAGGCUAGACCUCCCUAAAGAGUCGUUCGAGACCAGGACGUUGAUAGGAUGGGUGUGUAAGUGCUGUGAGGCACUCAGCUAACCAUUACUAAUUGCUCGUGAAGCUUGAUCCU